RNAcentral lists this ribosomal RNA (683 nucleotides) under Comamonas testosteroni. RNAcentral's name for it is "bacterial LSU rRNA". It matches the Rfam family "Bacterial large subunit ribosomal RNA", at positions 2022 to 2704 of the family's 2925-position model. Lineage: Bacteria; Pseudomonadati; Pseudomonadota; Betaproteobacteria; Burkholderiales; Comamonadaceae. The record is from RNAcentral.
CCUCCUGAGACUCAGCGAAGUUGAAAUGUUUGUGAUGAUGCAAUCUCCCCGCGGAAAGACGGAAAGACCCCAUGAACCUUUACUGUAGCUUUGUAUUGGACUUUGAACGGAUCUGUGUAGGAUAGGUGGGAGGCUUUGAAGUGCGGUCGCUAGAUCGCAUGGAGCCGACGUUGAAAUACCACCCUGGUGCGUUUGAGGUUCUAACCUGGAUCCAUUAUCUGGAUCGGGGACAGUGCAUGGUAGGCAGUUUGACUGGGGCGGUCUCCUCCCAAAGCGUAACGGAGGAGUUCGAAGGUACGCUAGUUACGGUCGGACAUCGUGACGAUAGUGCAAUGGCAUAAGCGUGCUUAACUGCGAGACUGACAAGUCGAGCAGAUGCGAAAGCAGGACAUAGUGAUCCGGUGGUUCUGUAUGGAAGGGCCAUCGCUCAACGGAUAAAAGGUACUCUGGGGAUAACAGGCUGAUACCGCCCAAGAGUUCAUAUCGACGGCGGUGUUUGGCACCUCGAUGUCGGCUCAUCUCAUCCUGGGGCUGUAGUCGGUCCCAAGGGUAUGGCUGUUCGCCAUUUAAAGAGGUACGUGAGCUGGGUUUAAAACGUCGUGAGACAGUUUGGUCCCUAUCUUCCGUGGGCGCUGCAGAUUUGAGGAAGCCUGCUCCUAGUACGAGAGGACCGGAGUGGACAC